Molecule: ribosomal RNA, 253 nt
Filed under: uncultured bacterium
Lineage: Bacteria
Description: partial 16S ribosomal RNA
Rfam family: Bacterial small subunit ribosomal RNA
Source: RNAcentral
UACGGAGGAUGCAAGCGUUAUCCGGAAUGAUUGGGCGUAAAGCGUCCGCAGGUGGCAAUGUAAGUCUGCUGUUAAAGAGUCUAGCUCAACUAGAUAAAAGCAGUGGAAACUACAUAGCUAGAGUGCGUUCGGGGCAGAGGGAAUUCCUGGUGUAGCGGUGAAAUGCGCAGAUAUCAGGAAGAACACCCGUGGCGAAGGCGGCUCUCUGGGACGGUACUGACGCUGAGGCGCGAAAGCCAGGGGAGCAAACGGG